GUUUCCAUGGUGUAGGAAUUGUAAUAUAAGUGUUUUGAAGUGAUCACAUGCUUCAUGAAAGGACUCAGUAUCCUUUUGAUAAAAAUUAGAAAUUGCAGCCCUUAAUUC
Non-coding RNA from Ricinus communis (castor bean), 108 nucleotides. NCBI's taxonomy places the organism in Eukaryota, Viridiplantae, Streptophyta, Magnoliopsida, Malpighiales, Euphorbiaceae. The record is from Rfam.